AGAUUAGAUACCCUGGUAGUCCACGCCGUAAACGAUGAUAACUAGAUGUAGGAGGUAUUGACCCCUUCUGUAUCGCAGCUAACGCAUUAAGUUAUCCGCCUGGGGAGUACGGUCGCAAGAUUAAAACUCAAAGGAAUUGACGGGGGCCCGCACAAGCGGUGGAGUAUGUGGUUUAAUUCGACGCAACACGAAGAACCUUACCUGGGUUAGAAAUCAACUAGACGGUUUCCAGAGAUGGAUUCCUUCCCUCACGGGACUGGUUGACAGGUGCUGCAUGGCUGUCGUCAGCUCGUGUCG
Molecule: ribosomal RNA, 297 nt
Filed under: uncultured bacterium
Lineage: Bacteria
Description: partial 16S ribosomal RNA
Rfam family: Bacterial small subunit ribosomal RNA
Source: RNAcentral